GUCCCCAGUAUGCUUGUUUCUAGGUUCUUCAGAGUUUAUACACAAUGGCGUUGGCCAAAUCCAGUGAUGCUAUGCCCAAUUGAAGAGGAUGAACUUGGUUUUCUUGUUUGGGAUCCUCGCAAGAAUCCAAAAGACCGAACUCAUCAUAUGCCAAUUAUAACUCCUGCUUAUCCUUGCAUGAACUCCAGCUAUAAUGUCUCGCCAAGUACUCUUCGAGUAAUGAUGGACCAGUUUCAGUUUGGUAACAAGAUUUGUGAGGUAUGGCUUAAAAUUCAGUGUUGUUUUCUUCUGUUUUCACUGUACUCACCCAUUUUGAUUGGUAGUCUUGCUUUUUUUACUUGGUUCUUUCAUCCAGGAGAUAGAGUUGAAUAAAGCACAGUGGGCUGCGCUUUUUGAGCAUUAUCUUUUCUUUGAGGUGUACAAAAACUAUCUGCAGGUUGACAUUGUAGCGGCAGAUAGUGAUGAUUUGCUAGCUUGGAGAGGCUGGGUGGAAUCCCGGCUUAGACAACUAACACUAAAGGUGAGAAUUGUAAGCACUAAAGGGAAAAGAAAGAACUUUGGGAGGUUAAAAUCGAAUUCAGUUGUUGGGAUAAUGAUAUUUUGUUUUCUUUGGUUUAUUAUGUCGAUGAGAAUUGUAAGCACUAAAGGGAAAAAGAAGGAAUUCUGGAGGGAAAUUUUUUAAUUCAAUUGUCGUGAUUCUAGUGCUGGAACUCAUGCUUUUUCUUUGAUGCAUUUCAGAUCGAGCGUGACACAAAUGGGAUGUUGCAGUGCCAUCCGUAUCCUAAUGAAUUUGUAGACUUGUCUAAGCCAUGUCCACAUUGUGCUUUUUUUAUGGGCUUGCAGAGGAAACAGGGUGUAAAAGUGCAAGAAGGACAGCAGUUUGAUAUUCGUGGCACAGUUGAUGAGUUUAAGCAAGACGUAAGCAUGUACACUUAUUGGAGACCAGGCAUGGAUAUCUAUGUAUCUCAUGUUCGGAGGAAGCAAAUUCCUCCAUUUGUCUUUCCAGAUGGGUAUAAGAGACCACGUCAAUCUAGGAAUACAAGUCAUAGUACUCCUGAGAAAGUUGCUAGAGGCUGCAUGUCUCCUGAAGAAAGGCAUCCGAAGAGGAAGCAGGAAGCUGAAACAGUUGGUGUAAAUUGGGGAAAACUAGGGAAACGUGCUUCUAUCAGUCCGCAAAGGAUAGGGUCUGUUUCUCCUCUAGGUGGUUCUAGUAGGUCUGAUGGAUCAUCACAAAUAAUCAUUUCUGACGAGUCACAGAAGGAGCUCGAGAGUUCUUGCCUACGGGACAGUUCUGAUGAUAAUUCAUUACAUAGGUGCAGCAGAAACGAUGCCUCUCUGAGUGACAGUUCCAUUUGUGCACCUGAUAGUUUAAAUUAUACAAUGUCAAGGAAUUCCACUUUAUCCGGACUUCCCAGAGAAGUUGAUUUAGAUAGUUCUAACACAAAAUCCUUCCCAAGCCAGGAGAUGCGUAGUCCGUUCCAAGACAUUUGCACUAGAAAUGUCCAAACUUUUCAGGUGUUGCAGAAUGAUGAGAAGGGGGAGAUUUUGGGAUCACUUCAUCAGGAUAAUACUGGGCAGCUCAAUGAACCAGGUGUUCAGACUGGUUGCGCAGAAAGAGGUGAAAGAGUGCAUGUAUCAAAUUCCAACAUUCAGAACCUCACUUGCGAGGUGAGUCUCUCUGUUUGCAUGUUUCGGCUCUUGAAUUGUAGCUGAUGGCAGUGAUUUAUGAAAGUGUUGAAGAUAGUGAGAGCUAAGAGUCCUUUCAGGGUGAUAUAAGCUUGGCUGACCGGAUUUCACAACUAGGGGAUGGAUGUUUAAGUGGGAAUGGAGUCUUGGGUAAUGGCUUGGCCGAGAAGUCACAGGUGGAGUGCAGAAGUCUCUGGUCUAAUUUUUACCAAUUUUUCAUCAAAGCUAUACUGCAUAUAUGAGUUUCUGUUAUUACUGUUCACAUACCUAUUUUCCAGUGUUCAAUUUCAUUUUCUUUUUGUUAGGGUUAUUAUGACUAUUGAAGAGCUGGUCAUAUCAUCAGCUAGCUGUGUAGUGGAAAAUUCAUGAAGUUGGGUUCUUUGAUUGUGAGCAUGUCAGAGACUAUUCCAAUCUUGAAAAUACAAGAGCUGGAGAAUAUGUCAUGAUCUUGGAUUUAUGAUUGGACUAUACUCGGCUCCUCGAAAAGCAAUUUUUUAUUUAUUUUCCCUUCCUUUGUUUUUGAAAAAUCAUUAAUUAAAUUUGAUGGUUUUACGCACGUGUCUCUGACCAAUACAUGCUGGUGUGUUCUGCUAACUUCCUACUUCCCUAAUUAGCUAUGAAACAUGUAUAGUACAUGGUGUGCUAAGAACUGCUCUGCAUCUGGCUUUAUAUUUGGUAUAUUUUCAGGAUGGAGAACUUACUCAUUGUUUGUCGUUUUCUGUUUUCUAGCCAAACCAUUCUCUCUCAAGGGCAAUGGAAUCGCAGGAUGGGGCAAGCUCAGAGGCUGUGCAGGAGCCUGCAAUAAGGCAUGUGUUUCUGUGGCCCUGUGUUUUACGAUUUGAUAGGCUAUGUUAUCUUUAUGCUUUCUUGCUUUGUUCCUGUCGUGGUUUCUUUCUAGUAGGUUGAGUCUGGAAUCAACAGCUUGAAUUUGGGUAGGCGUUCCAAAGAUUGGCGUGUUUCAGAGCUAGUGCGUUUUUGAAAAUGCUUGCUCGGAAGAUGGUUGGUGAGGUGUUUGGAUUAGUUCAAGCUCACAUUUUAAUGUGAGAAGAGGUUGCAGAUUAUGACGUGUGGAUUUGUCUUCAGGCCCACUUUGAAGUUGGAUGAAGAUGUGAAUCUGUGCCUUUCUAACCCCCCCCCCCCCCCCAAAAAAAAAAACGAAAAAGAAAAAGAAAGAAGAAAGAAAACGAAAACGAAAAAGAAAAAAACAGGAGCCGUGCCUGCAGUGAAUCUCCAGUUGAAGCUAAACCAGUGUCCUGCUUAUUGCUGCAGUCAAGAGCCAGCAUCGAGAAGAGACCGCUGUAUACAUUGUGGUUGUAGUCUGCUUCAUUUGUUGAGAACCAAAAUAGCUUGUGGAUGUUUAAAAGGGAAAAAAGAAAGUGUAAAACAGGAUAGUGGCUACUUUUUUCUAUUUUGAGGGUCUAGAAAAGACUUAUUUCCUUAUAUUGUGAUGUAGGAAACCUUGGUCUUCGUAGGUGGUCCUUCUUUGUUUAAAAUUUUUAUUAACUGACAAGAUUAUAGUAAAAAUCUGGUAUCUU
This 3221-nucleotide long non-coding RNA is filed under the name Nicotiana tabacum (common tobacco). RNAcentral's name for it is "long non-coding RNA (NTAB_LNC008086)". Lineage: Eukaryota; Viridiplantae; Streptophyta; Magnoliopsida; Solanales; Solanaceae. The record is from RNAcentral.